Non-coding RNA from Paramuricea clavata, 242 nucleotides. The record is from the annotation of a GenBank genome assembly. Lineage: Eukaryota; Metazoa; Cnidaria; Anthozoa; Malacalcyonacea; Plexauridae.
AAGGACUACUAUACACGCAGGACAUGUUUGCCAGUCAACUUUUUUUCAAUUUUGUCGUUUCAACAUUUUCAGACAAACAUUAUUAAUAAGAGUUGUAACGCGUUUUAAUAUGAGUUCAGGUGCUCAAAUUCGUAGCAUUUUAAAGAAAAAUAAAAAAGAUACUGACCGUCAAAGUUUACUGCAGUCAUUGAAGUAAUCUUUCCUUUUUUUGGCCGGAUCCCGUAGGAAUUGACAAUUUCCUA